Molecule: unclassified non-coding RNA, 423 nt
Filed under: uncultured Tricholomataceae
Lineage: Eukaryota; Fungi; Basidiomycota; Agaricomycetes; Agaricales; Tricholomataceae
Description: sequence contains ITS2
Rfam family: 5.8S ribosomal RNA (bases 1-154)
Source: RNAcentral
AACUUUCGGCAACGGAUCUCUUGGCUCUCGCAUCGAUGAAGAACGCAGCGAAAUGCGAUAAGUAAUGUGAAUUGCAGAAUUCAGUGAAUCUUCGAAUUUUUGAACGCACCUUGCGCUCCUUGGUAUUCCGAGGAGCAUGCCUGUUUGAGUGUCAUUAAAUUCUCAACCUUCCAACUUUUAUUAGCUUGGAUAGGCUUAGAUGUGGAGGUUGCAGGCUUCAUCAAUGAGGUCAGCUCUUCUUUAAUGCAUUAGCGGAACUUUUGUGGACCGUCUAUUGGUGUGAUAAUUAUCUACGCCGUGGAUGAGAAACAGCUUUAUCAAGUUCAGCUUCUAACCGUCCAUUGACUUGGACAAUUUUGACAAUUUGACCUCAAAUCAGGUAGGACUACCCGCUGAACUUAAGCAUAUCAAUAAGCGGAGGCU